This 73-nucleotide transfer RNA is filed under the name Longispora fulva. It matches the Rfam family "tRNA". Rfam says of the family: Transfer RNA (tRNA) molecules are approximately 80 nucleotides in length. Their secondary structure includes four short double-helical elements and three loops (D, anti-codon, and T loops). Lineage: Bacteria; Bacillati; Actinomycetota; Actinomycetes; Micromonosporales; Micromonosporaceae. RNAcentral also lists the same sequence under 3 other names. The record is from Rfam by way of RNAcentral.
GCCGCUAUGGCGCAAUUGGUAGCGCACCCCACUUGUAAUGGGAAGGUUUCGGGUUCGAGUCCCGAUAGCGGCU